Molecule: long non-coding RNA, 308 nt
Filed under: Pan troglodytes (chimpanzee)
Lineage: Eukaryota; Metazoa; Chordata; Mammalia; Primates; Hominidae
Description: long non-coding RNA NONPTRT000796
Source: RNAcentral
GAAGGGGUGGUGGCCUCUGGGUCAUUGCCGGAUUGUUGGGAAGGGUGGUGGCCUCUGGAUUGUUACUGGAUUGUUGGGAAGGGGUGGUGACCUCUGGAUUGUUACUGGAUUGUUGGGAAGGGGUGGUGACCUCUGGAUUGUUAGUGGAUUGUUGGGAAGGGGUGGUGACCUCUGGAUUGUUACUGGAUUGUUGGGAAGGGUGGUGACCUCUGGAUUGUUACUGGAUUGUUGGGAAGGGGUGGUGACCUCUGGAUUGUUACUGGAUUGUUGGGAAGGGUGGUGACCUCUGGGUUGUUACUGGAUUGUUG